UACGGGGGGGGCAAGCGUUGUUCGGAAUUACUGGGCGUAAAGGGCUCGUAGGCGGCCAACUAAGUCAGACGUGAAAUCCCUCGGCUUAACCGGGGAACUGCGUCUGAUACUGCCGUUCUUGAGGGAUGCAGAGGAGACUGGAAUUCCCGGUGUAGCGGUGAAAUGUGUAGAGAUCGGGAGGAACACCGGUGGCGAAGGCGGGUCUCUGGACAGUUCCUGACGCUGAGGCACGAAGGCCAGGGGAGCAAACGGG
RNAcentral lists this ribosomal RNA (253 nucleotides) under uncultured bacterium. Its description in RNAcentral is "partial 16S ribosomal RNA". It matches the Rfam family "Bacterial small subunit ribosomal RNA", at positions 524 to 776 of the family's 1533-position model. The record is from RNAcentral.